UCCAUACAAAACAAGUAAACAAGUCUCUGUGACGCAAUCAAGUGUUUGAGGGUUUGUACAUAUUCAACAAGUAAAGGAUUAUACAUUAACGACAAAACUAUGGAGUUUAAACACGCGUGCAUUUAAACACAUAAAGGAAAUACUAUCGGCCCUAGAGAAAUGAAAUUGUUGACGCCGAGAAUCGAGGAAGUUUAGCGAUGUACAGGAGUUUGUUUUAUUUAUAACUGUGGUUUGUGUUGAAGGAUUUCUAUUUUUGUGGAGUGAGGUUACCAUGGUAAUCAUCAUCUGUCAGAUAUUACUGUGUGUAAUAUACACCACAGCGUAUGAAAAUGCAGCAUUACGGAAACCAGCAUGGCAGACACAUAACUGGCCUGAUGCACCUUAUGAUGUGGAAUGGGGCGCAGCGAAGGCUGUGGACGGAAUGUAUACUGACCGCUCAGCAGGAGGAAACCAAUGUACUCAAUCAGGCCCAGGUCAAACAACAGCGAUGUGGAGAGUGGACCUGGAGAGUGUGGUCAGCAUUAGUCACAUUAACAUCUACUAUAGGACGGAAAAUAAACCGAGCCCCGGUGCGUAUUAUAAUCGAUUUGCUGGAUUUUUCCUGUACGUAUCCAACACUACGUCAAAGGAUGACGGCCAUCGUUGUUUCCAUGAGAUACAGCCUGUGACCGGAACUCCAGUAGAGAACCAGACAAUAAGCUGUUCUGUUCAUGGACGAUAUGUGAUAUACUACAACGAACGGAAACCGGGUGUUACCUACCCUAGCUACUACUCACGAGACGCAUAUAAUGAACUAUGUGAAGUGGAAGUUCAUGGGUGCUCUGACCCAACAUUUUACGGAAAGAACUGUGACCAACCGUGUCCCGAUAAAUGUCAAGAGAAGAGGUGUAACAUCAGUACGGGAUACUGUCUGGGCUGUAUACCGGGUUAUCAAGGUCUUCGCUGUAGUCAAGUGUGUGAUAAACAGGCGUAUGGGCUGGGAUGUUCGUCAUCAUGUGGGAACUGUAGCGAUGGGGAGCCAUGCCACUAUCAAAACGGCACGUGCCCUCGGGGAUGUAAUGCAGGGGUAUAUGGGGAGAAAUGCCAAAUACCAUGCCAAACUGGUUUUUAUGGAAAGAACUGCGGACAUAGAUGCAGUGAGAACUGUGAAGUGACAAACCGUUGUAGCAGAUUUACUGGGGAGUGUGACGGGGGCUGUAAACCGGGAUGGAAGAUGCCAACAUGUCAGCGAGAAUGUGACGAUGGGAUGUACGGCGCAGGCUGCACACAGAAAUGUGGCUCCUGUCUAGACAACAAACAGUGUCAUCAUGUUAACGGCACGUGUUUGAAUGGUUGUUCUUCAGGAUACCAGGGAGGACAUUGCAAGGAGAACUGUCCCAGUGGAUAUUUCGGUAUCAAUUGUGAAAACAGCUGUACCGUGCACUGUGGUAGAAAUGGUAGUUGUGAUCAGACCACCGGGAUAUGUGAUGGAGGAUGUGAGGAGGGGUGGAGCGGGCCUCUCUGUGGUACAGAAGAGUUAUCAUCCCGCGUUACAAGUUGUACAGAUGACAACACCGCCACCAUCAUAAGUAUUGUAGUAUCUAUUUUUAUAGUGCUUAUUGGAAGUAUCAUCAACUUCCUGAUGUGGAAGAGAAAUCAGACAGAAUACGCAAAGAAAGGAGAAAAUUGUAGAAGUGAAACAAGGAGUGCUCACAAUUCAGUGGAGUGACGGGAUGCUAUAAACAAUGGAGAACCACAUUUGCACAAAUUCAGCACUUGACAUUAUAUAUUCUUGCACAACGUUACUCACCGUCAACUCGUGCUACAUUUUAUUCAUAUGUGGAAUGUUUAUUUACUUUCCGAGCUCCAGAUAAGGGGGAAGGGUUGCUCAAUUAUGCUUUGUGAAAUACGCAGUGGAAAUAAAACUGAGUACACAUACACAUUGAAUUUGUAGAUAUGCAUAACACUCUGAAAUAUAUUUUCUUCCUAUAAAAUACUCAUGAUUUUGAAAACGAAUUAAAAUUAACAUUGAUUUCUGAAUUUUCUUGAAAGGCAUAUAGAUUAACAUACAUAUCUUCGUACAUUUUGCUGGUAGUCUGAAAUAAACUAUGCAUUUAUUUAAAAGUUUGGGGAGGGGAGUGUGUACUACACUUUGUCUUUGAAAAAAUACCGUUAGGAUCUCGGGACUUUCAUAAAAACAUUAACAAGAGAGGACUGCAAGUUCGUUUUCACUGAUAAGAGAUGGAAUUCUCAUUGGUUUCUGUUUUCAAUUUCCAUUUUCCUAGUAAACUCAAAAAAGAAAAAAAAGAUACUUCCGAAUUCUGGAAACUUUCAAAGUGAAGUCAUGGUCCUAUGGUUGUUAGUUCUUUAAAUUUUGAUUUGGAUAACAUGGAGUGGCAUAUGUUAUUUCGACAUUUAGUCCUUAUCAUGUAAAUUAUAUAUGUCUUGUGUAAUAUAUCAGCGAUAUGUCAAUUGCAGAAAUGUAAUUUUUAUGGAAGGAGCACUUGACCCCUUGUAUUUUAAAUUAUUAAACAUAUGGGAUACUUGCUUAUAAUCACUUGUACGAUUGACCAUAUCUCUGACACGUGUCACAAAACUGUGGUAAACAGUAACGUCAACCAAUCUGCAGUUUUUUUUCAUCUAAUGAGGCGGACAUUCAUGUUUCUUAAUUUAUAUGAGUUAGGGUAGAUAACAUUUUAAAACUUGAUACCACAUGCUAAUUCUACUUUCGCUUUUUAAAUCAUGAAAUAAUUUGCUACAGAUGAAAAUAAAUUACUUGCUUAUUUGGUCAAAGUAAAAAUUGUACUUCAGAUUUUGUGUCUCACCCAAAAUCACGACUAUGAAGCAUGCGUCUCAUACGGUUAAAAUAUUGUGUAAUGGAACAUAAUGAUCGGCGUGUCAGUUUCCAGAAAAACCUUUUAAAGAUGCUUUCACGGACAAGUGAACUUUGAUUAUUGUAUCCAGUCACCUGUAGUAUAAGCUGUUGUGAUUUCUGAGAAUUGUAAACGCCGAAAAUGUCACUUUGAUACCACGUUUACUGCAUGCAUUUGAAUUUGAGAUGUAAUGCAGUAUCAGUUACCUAUGCUGUUACGUUUGUUUUCUGCAAUUUCUUUUAUAAAUCAACAUCUCGCAUUAAAACUCGGGUCAAAUUGUUUUAUUUCAUUCUCAGAUAUACCAAGCGGUUCAAAUCGUGUUGAAUCCCCGUAUGCAGAACUGGGAGACCGUGACAAACCGAACACGUACGAGGAACUUCACCAUUAUACCGACUCUAAUGGGAAAGUCUAAGACGAGUUAUAUGUACUGCUGUUAUUUCCAC
This is an RNA transcript of Ostrea edulis (European flat oyster), 3295 nucleotides long. It is a transcript of the gene named multiple epidermal growth factor-like domains protein 10, with no coding region annotated. The record is from RefSeq and is a predicted model, not a curated record. The transcript is spliced from 13 exons. Lineage: Eukaryota; Metazoa; Mollusca; Bivalvia; Ostreida; Ostreidae.